This is a long non-coding RNA of Molossus molossus (Pallas's mastiff bat), 464 nucleotides long. RefSeq lists it as uncharacterized. The record is from RefSeq and is a predicted model, not a curated record. The transcript is spliced from 3 exons. NCBI's taxonomy places the organism in Eukaryota, Metazoa, Chordata, Mammalia, Chiroptera, Molossidae.
CUCUAAACAGCCACUAAGGAAAGGCAAAUAUGGAGAUCACCCUUCAGAUUUUCAUAUGUCAGUCCACUAGGAGAUGAGCUGAUACUCUGAGGGUGCAUAGCUUUGAACUACAGAAGCAAAGGGCUACGGUAGAAUAUGAACAGUGGUCUCCAACAUCCUCGCUGGCCUCACCAAAGAGCCUGUAUGCAUCCUGCUGGACAACUGUCCCUCUGCCCACCUUCCACACUGGGUCCCCAGGAAGAAAGAACAACAAUGACAGCAACCACAGGUCCAGCAACCGGCCAGGAGCCCUGCCAGCAGCACAACCAACAAUGAGGGGCACCCACACUGCAGGGCCCUGCCAUCCAGAUGGGACCAGGAGCCCAUCUCUUUCCUUGAGCUACUAGGAGUUGAUUUGGUUCAGUUCCAUGGCCACAGCUGGCUUCAACGAGGAGGCUGGGUCACUUAUGACAUUUCUCGACCUU